RNAcentral lists this ribosomal RNA (1215 nucleotides) under Bacillus licheniformis. RNAcentral's name for it is "bacterial SSU rRNA". It matches the Rfam family "Bacterial small subunit ribosomal RNA", at positions 140 to 1340 of the family's 1533-position model. The record is from RNAcentral. Lineage: Bacteria; Bacillati; Bacillota; Bacilli; Caryophanales; Bacillaceae.
GGGAUAACUCCGGGAAACCGGGGCUAAUACCGGAUGCUUGAUUGAACCGCAUGGUUCAAUCAUAAAAGGUGGCUUUUAGCUACCACUUACAGAUGGACCCGCGGCGCAUUAGCUAGUUGGUGAGGUAACGGCUCACCAAGGCGACGAUGCGUAGCCGACCUGAGAGGGUGAUCGGCCACACUGGGACUGAGACACGGCCCAGACUCCUACGGGAGGCAGCAGUAGGGAAUCUUCCGCAAUGGACGAAAGUCUGACGGAGCAACGCCGCGUGAGUGAUGAAGGUUUUCGGAUCGUAAAACUCUGUUGUUAGGGAAGAACAAGUACCGUUCGAAUAGGGCGGUACCUUGACGGUACCUAACCAGAAAGCCACGGCUAACUACGUGCCAGCAGCCGCGGUAAUACGUAGGUGGCAAGCGUUGUCCGGAAUUAUUGGGCGUAAAGCGCGCGCAGGCGGUUUCUUAAGUCUGAUGUGAAAGCCCCCGGCUCAACCGGGGAGGGUCAUUGGAAACUGGGGAACUUGAGUGCAGAAGAGGAGAGUGGAAUUCCACGUGUAGCGGUGAAAUGCGUAGAGAUGUGGAGGAACACCAGUGGCGAAGGCGACUCUCUGGUCUGUAACUGACGCUGAGGCGCGAAAGCGUGGGGAGCGAACAGGAUUAGAUACCCUGGUAGUCCACGCCGUAAACGAUGAGUGCUAAGUGUUAGAGGGUUUCCGCCCUUUAGUGCUGCAGCAAACGCAUUAAGCACUCCGCCUGGGGAGUACGGUCGCAAGACUGAAACUCAAAGGAAUUGACGGGGGCCCGCACAAGCGGUGGAGCAUGUGGUUUAAUUCGAAGCAACGCGAAGAACCUUACCAGGUCUUGACAUCCUCUGACAACCCUAGAGAUAGGGCUUCCCCUUCGGGGGCAGAGUGACAGGUGGUGCAUGGUUGUCGUCAGCUCGUGUCGUGAGAUGUUGGGUUAAGUCCCGCAACGAGCGCAACCCUUGAUCUUAGUUGCCAGCAUUCAGUUGGGCACUCUAAGGUGACUGCCGGUGACAAACCGGAGGAAGGUGGGGAUGACGUCAAAUCAUCAUGCCCCUUAUGACCUGGGCUACACACGUGCUACAAUGGGCAGAACAAAGGGCAGCGAAGCCGCGAGGCUAAGCCAAUCCCACAAAUCUGUUCUCAGUUCGGAUCGCAGUCUGCAACUCGACUGCGUGAAGCUGGAAUCGCUAGUA